AUCGCGAAGAACCUUACCAAAUCUUGACAUCCUUUGAAAACUCUAGAGAUAGAGCCUUCCCCUUCGGGGGACAAAGUGACAGGUGGUGCAUGGUUGUCGUCAGCUCGUGUCGUGAGAUGUUGGGUUAAGUCCCGCAACGAGCGCAACCCUUAAGCUUAGUUGCCAUCAUUAAGUUGGGCACUCUAGGUUGACUGCCGGUGACAAACCGGAGGAAGGUGGGGAUGACGUCAAAUCAUCAUGCCCCUUAUGAUUUGGGCUACACACGUGCUACAAUGGACAAUACAAAGGGCAGCUAAACCGCGAGGUCAUGCAAAUCCCAUAAAGUUGUUCUCAGUUCGGAUUGUAGUCUGCAACUCGACUACAUGAAGCUGGAAUCGCUAGUAAUCGUAGAUCAGCAUGCUACGGUGAAUACGUUCCCGGGUCUUGUACACACCGA
Molecule: ribosomal RNA, 436 nt
Filed under: uncultured Staphylococcus sp.
Lineage: Bacteria; Bacillati; Bacillota; Bacilli; Caryophanales; Staphylococcaceae
Description: bacterial SSU rRNA
Rfam family: Bacterial small subunit ribosomal RNA
Source: RNAcentral